RNAcentral lists this non-coding RNA (27 nucleotides) under Cricetulus griseus (Chinese hamster). The record is from RNAcentral. Lineage: Eukaryota; Metazoa; Chordata; Mammalia; Rodentia; Cricetidae.
CCAAAUCCAGUACAACAGCAGCGAGGA